Long non-coding RNA from Rhinichthys klamathensis goyatoka, 256 nucleotides. RefSeq lists it as uncharacterized. The record is from RefSeq and is a predicted model, not a curated record. The transcript has 3 exons. Lineage: Eukaryota; Metazoa; Chordata; Actinopteri; Cypriniformes; Leuciscidae.
GCGCAGCAAGUGUGAGAAAACAGUAUAGAGACCUCAACACUUGGCAUGAGGGCAACCAUCAAUGGACAGGAAUGAAAAUGUUUGAAAAUGCAACAUGGUCUAUGAUUUAAGAGCACAGGGAGACUGGAGACACACGACACCUGCUCCGCCUCCUCAGAUGAUGGCUGGCUCUGCUGAUGGGUCUUGGACAGAGAGCGCGGUCUACUGAAAUGGGAUGUAAGGAUCUACACAUCAUAGAGCUAAUAAAACAUGACAG